CCUACGGGAGGCAGCAGUGGGGAAUAUUGCACAAUGGGCGAAAGCCUGAUGCAGCAACGCCGCGUGAAGGAAGAAGGCCUUCGGGUCGUAAACUUCUGUCCUUGGGGAAGAAGAACUGACGGUACCCAAGGAGGAAGCCCCGGCUAACUACGUGCCAGCAGCCGCGGUAAUACGUAGGGGGCAAGCGUUAUCCGGAAUUAUUGGGCGUAAAGAGUACGUAGGUGGCAACCUAAGCGCAGGGUUUAAGGCAAUGGCUCAACCAUUGUUCGCCCUGCGAACUGGGAUGCUUGAGUGCAGGAGAGGAAAGCGGAAUUCCUAGUGUAGCGGUGAAAUGCGUAGAUAUCACGCAGAACUCCGAUUGCGAAGGCAGCAUACCGGCGCCCGACUGACGCUGAGGCACGAAAGCGUGGGGAUCGAACAGGAUUAGAUACCCUAGUAGUC
RNAcentral lists this ribosomal RNA (441 nucleotides) under uncultured bacterium. RNAcentral's name for it is "partial 16S ribosomal RNA". It matches the Rfam family "Bacterial small subunit ribosomal RNA", at positions 338 to 795 of the family's 1533-position model. The record is from RNAcentral.